RNAcentral lists this ribosomal RNA (376 nucleotides) under uncultured bacterium. Its description in RNAcentral is "bacterial SSU rRNA". It matches the Rfam family "Bacterial small subunit ribosomal RNA", at positions 524 to 898 of the family's 1533-position model. The record is from RNAcentral.
UACGGAGGGUGCAAGCGUUGCUCGGAAUUAUUGGGCGUAAAGGGUAGGUAGGUGGUCUUGUUUGUCGUUGGUGAAAGCCUUGAGCUUAACUUAAGAAGUGCCGACGAAACGGCAAGACUCGAGUUCUAGAGAGGGUCGUGGAAUUCCCGGUGUAGCGGUGAAAUGCGUAGAGAUCGGGAGGAACACCAGAGGCGAAAGCGGCGACCUGGCUAGGGACUGACACUCAACUACGAAAGCGUGGGGAGCAAACAGGAUUAGAUACCCUGGUAGUCCACGCUGUAAACGAUGGGUACUAGGUUUGGAGGGUCUUGACCCCCCCUGAACCGGCGCUAACGCACUAAGUACCCCGCCUGAGGAGUACGGUCGCAAGACUAAA